Molecule: ribosomal RNA, 681 nt
Filed under: Montenegrina rugilabris irmengardis
Lineage: Eukaryota; Metazoa; Mollusca; Gastropoda; Stylommatophora; Clausiliidae
Description: partial 12S ribosomal RNA
Source: RNAcentral
GCACUGAAUGGAUUAACUAUUCUUUAUUUAUUUAUUUAUUUAUUAAAAAUACUUUUAAGUCCAUCUUAUAGAAAAUUUUAAACUUUCUAACCGAAAUAAAAAAUUAUUGUAACUCGCCUUACUUCUUAUUUAUUUGCUGCACUUUGAUUUGUAUUAAAUUUAAAAUAAGAUUUUGGACCCACCUAAAGGUGGGUCCACGACAACGGUAUACAAGGUAAAUAAGUAUCAUAUUCUUGGUGGCUAUCAAUUAUAUGGUAAGUUCCCCUAAAAUACUACAUUCAGCCGCCAUAAUAUUUAAGUUUAGGCUUAAUGGAAAGCAUUAAUUCUUGUUUAAAAUAUAUUUAUCUCCUUAUAGUUGGGUAUCUAAUCCGGGUUUAAUUUUUGGAGGUUGUUAUAGUAUGAAUAUAGUUAGGUUACAAAAGUAAUAGCAUUUCACUGCAUAUUUAUAUUUUGUAUAUUUGUAAUUAUUUAAACAAUUACUAUAAAUUUAUCUAAUAGGUAUGACCGCGGUUGCUGGCACCUAAUAAACCUAGAUUAUAUAAUUAUCUAAACUUAAAUUUCUUUAGUGGUUUAAAAUUUUUAACUGGAAAAUUGUUUACAUUCCAUAUUAAAUUAGAUUAUAGACUUAUAGAUCCAUCAUAUUAAAGUGGUUGGUCUAAGGGGGUUGUUUACCAUUUUAGA